This 837-nucleotide ribosomal RNA is filed under the name Shouchella clausii. RNAcentral describes it as "bacterial SSU rRNA". It matches the Rfam family "Bacterial small subunit ribosomal RNA", at positions 374 to 1204 of the family's 1533-position model. Lineage: Bacteria; Bacillati; Bacillota; Bacilli; Caryophanales; Bacillaceae. The record is from RNAcentral.
GACGAAGUCUGACGGAGCAACGCCGCGUGAGUGAGGAAGGCCUUCGGGUCGUAAAGCUCUGUUGUGAGGGAAGAAGCGGUACCGUUCGAAUAGGGCGGUACCUUGACGGUACCUCACCAGAAAGCCACGGCUAACUACGUGCCAGCAGCCGCGGUAAUACGUAGGUGGCAAGCGUUGUCCGGAAUUAUUGGGCGUAAAGCGCGCGCAGGCGGCUUCUUAAGUCUGAUGUGAAAUCUCGGGGCUCAACCCCGAGCGGCCAUUGGAAACUGGGGAGCUUGAGUGCAGAAGAGGAGAGUGGAAUUCCACGUGUAGCGGUGAAAUGCGUAGAGAUGUGGAGGAACACCAGUGGCGAAGGCGACUCUCUGGUCUGUAACUGACGCUGAGGCGCGAAAGCGUGGGGAGCAAACAGGAUUAGAUACCCUGGUAGUCCACGCCGUAAACGAUGAGUGCUAGGUGUUAGGGGUUUCGAUGCCCGUAGUGCCGAAGUUAACACAUUAAGCACUCCGCCUGGGGAGUACGGCCGCAAGGCUGAAACUCAAAGGAAUUGACGGGGACCCGCACAAGCAGUGGAGCAUGUGGUUUAAUUCGAAGCAACGCGAAGAACCUUACCAGGUCUUGACAUCCUUUGACCACCCAAGAGAUUGGGCUUCCCCUUCGGGGGCAAAGUGACAGGUGGUGCAUGGUUGUCGUCAGCUCGUGUCGUGAGAUGUUGGGUUAAGUCCCGCAACGAGCGCAACCCUUGAUCUUAGUUGCCAGCAUUGAGUUGGGCACUCUAAGGUGACUGCCGGUGACAAACCGGAGGAAGGUGGGGAUGACGUCAAAUCAUCAUGCCCCUUA